This 164-nucleotide ribosomal RNA is filed under the name uncultured bacterium. RNAcentral's name for it is "partial 16S rRNA". It matches the Rfam family "Bacterial small subunit ribosomal RNA", at positions 355 to 511 of the family's 1533-position model. The record is from RNAcentral.
UAGGGAAUCUUCCACAGUGGGCGCAAGCCUGAUGGAGCAACGCCGCGUGUGUGAUGAAGGCUUUCGGGUCGUAAAGCACUGUUGUAUGGGAAGAAAUGCUAGAAUAGGGAAUGAUUCUAGUUCGACGGUACCAUACCAGAAAGGGACGGCUAAAUACGUGCCAA